This 65-nucleotide transfer RNA is filed under the name Anaplecta sp. 1 ZQW-2020. RNAcentral describes it as "tRNA-Gly". The record is from RNAcentral. Lineage: Eukaryota; Metazoa; Arthropoda; Insecta; Blattodea; Anaplectidae.
AUUUAUUUAGUAUAAAAAGUACUAUUAACUUCCAAUUAAAGAGUCUAAAUUAAAUAGAAUAAAUA